RNAcentral lists this ribosomal RNA (301 nucleotides) under uncultured bacterium. Its description in RNAcentral is "partial 16S ribosomal RNA". It matches the Rfam family "Bacterial small subunit ribosomal RNA", at positions 509 to 809 of the family's 1533-position model. The record is from RNAcentral.
CAGUCGCCGCGGGAAUACGAAGGGGGCUAGCGUUGCUCGGAAUGACUGGGCGUAAAGGGCGCGUAGGCGGCGAUCAAAGUCAGGCGUGAAAUUCCUGGGCUCAACCUGGGGGCUGCGCUUGAUACUUGGUUGCUUGAGUGGGGAAGAGGGUCGUGGAAUUCCCAGUGUAGAGGUGAAAUUCGUGGAUAUUGGGAAGAACACCAGUGGCGAAGGCGGCAACCUGGUCCUUGACUGACGCUGAGGCGCGAAAGCGUGGGGAGCAAACAGGAUUAGAUACCCGCGUAGUCCCUGUCUCUUAUAU